This 301-nucleotide ribosomal RNA is filed under the name uncultured bacterium. Its description in RNAcentral is "partial 16S ribosomal RNA". It matches the Rfam family "Bacterial small subunit ribosomal RNA", at positions 509 to 807 of the family's 1533-position model. The record is from RNAcentral.
CAGUCGCCGCGGUAAUACGUAGGUGGCAAGCGUUGUACGGAAUUAUUGGGCGUAAAGGGCUCGCAGGCGGUUUCUUAAGUCUGAUGUGAAAGCCCCCGGCUCAACCGGGGAGGGUCAUUGGAAACUGGGAAACUUGAGUGCAGAAGAGGAGAGUGGAAUUCCACGUGUAGCGGUGAAAUGCGUAGAGAUGUGGAGGAACACCAGUGGCGAAGGCGACUCUCUGGUCUGUAACUGACGCUGAGGAGCGAAAGCGUGGGGAGCGAACAGGAUUAGAUACCCGUGUAGUCCCUGUCUCUUAUAC